GAACGGUGAAGCCAAGCUUGCUUGGUGGAUCAGUGGCGAACGGGUGAGUAACACGUGAGCAACCUGCCCUGGACUCUGGGAUAAGCGCUGGAAACGGCGUCUAAUACUGGAUAUGAGCCUCUAUCGCAUGGUGGGGGUUGGAAAGAUUUUUUGGUCUGGGAUGGGCUCGCGGCCUAUCAGCUUGUUGGUGAGGUAAUGGCUCACCAAGGCGUCGACGGGUAGCCGGCCUGAGAGGGUGACCGGCCACACUGGGACUGAGACACGGCCCAGACUCCUACGGGAGGCAGCAGUGGGGAAUAUUGCACAAUGGGCGGAAGCCUGAUGCAGCAACGCCGCGUGAGGGAUGACGGCCUUCGGGUUGUAAACCUCUUUUAGCAGGGAAGAAGCGAGAGUGACGGUACCUGCAGAAAAAGCGCCGGCUAACUACGUGCCAGCAGCCGCGGUAAUACGUAGGGCGCAAGCGUUAUCCGGAAUUAUUGGGCGUAAAGAGCUCGUAGGCGGUUUGUCGCGUCUGCUGUGAAAUCCCGAGGCUCAACCUCGGGCCUGCAGUGGGUACGGGCAGACUAGAGUGCGGUAGGGGAGAUUGGAAUUCCUGGUGUAGCGGUGGAAUGCGCAGAUAUCAGGAGGAACACCGAUGGCGAAGGCAGAUCUCUGGGCCGUAACUGACGCUGAGGAGCGAAAGGGUGGGGAGCAAACAGGCUUAGAUACCCUGGUAGUCCACCCCGUAAACGUUGGGAACUAGUUGUGGG
Molecule: ribosomal RNA, 749 nt
Filed under: Microbacterium aurantiacum
Lineage: Bacteria; Bacillati; Actinomycetota; Actinomycetes; Micrococcales; Microbacteriaceae
Description: partial 16S ribosomal RNA
Rfam family: Bacterial small subunit ribosomal RNA
Source: RNAcentral